AAGGUCAGGAUAUUCAGACAGUUUUAAAUGCUUGAAACUACCAAAUCCCACCUGAUCUCAUUUGCUUUGAGAUAGAGGGAUUUGACUUCAGAUUCUUUCAGUUGAUCUUCAAGGAAUUCGAUUUGGGUGUGAAAAGUGUUGCAAUUUGGGAACGGGGAAGAACAAGAGAGGAUGAGGUUUCAAUCAGGGAAGAAAAGGUGAGGUUUUGAUUUGGCCAUUUCAGGAUUUGGAAGAGUGAGAUUUUGAUUUGGAUUCUGAAAUGGGUGAAGAAUGAAACCGUGUUAUGGAAUGGGAAGAGUUGGGUUUUUUUUUUGUUUUUAUUAGAGUUUUUUUUUAUAUAUUUUCAAUUUAGAGGU
This 356-nucleotide long non-coding RNA is filed under the name Medicago truncatula (barrel medic). RNAcentral's name for it is "lncRNA gene1829". The record is from RNAcentral. Lineage: Eukaryota; Viridiplantae; Streptophyta; Magnoliopsida; Fabales; Fabaceae.